This 500-nucleotide long non-coding RNA is filed under the name Helianthus annuus (common sunflower). The record is from RNAcentral. Lineage: Eukaryota; Viridiplantae; Streptophyta; Magnoliopsida; Asterales; Asteraceae.
AUGCCAAAAGCAAGCAUUUUGUUUUCAUUCUCGUCAUUCAACAAUGCAAGGUCAUUCCAAAUCAACUAUUACAACACUUCUUGGAUAAUCUGUUUAUUUGUUGCUGGGCUUGGAAUAUGUUGCUGGGCUUGGAGCUGAAUAUGUUGCUGGGCUUGGAGCUUAUAACAGAAGGAUGUCCACUUGGUCUCGCCCACUUGCUCGGGUUAUCCGGAUAUCAGUUUGAAGUCGGGUCCCUAUAUAAUACUUGGGGAUCUUAUCAUCUCACCUAACAAGUCAUUAUUGGUGUCUUCUUUCAGUUCAGUUUGUUCUCUCUUUUUAGGCGAUUAGGGUUUGUAUAUGUGAAUCACUUUGAUUCAUUUUGAGAGUUUAUUCCCUGUUGUUGUCUAGCAGAUUAUCAUGUUGAUAAUCUGCAAGUGAGAGAUUUAUUGUGAGAGAUUUCAGUCUUUGUUUGUCUUGUUCGUUUGUAUCAGUUUGUCUGGGUUAAUAAUACUUUGGUUUGG